GUCUCCGACCAAAAGUCCAUUCAUUCCUAUGUGAUUCUCCGUAAUGUCAGUUUUUCCGCCGAAACUCCUCCCCUCCGUAAAAUCUCUCUCCGGAAUGUCCGUAAUAUACGUUCAAAAAAUGUAACUUUCGCCGUCGUUUUACGGAGAUACCGUAUGAAAGUUUUUAUGUUUUUCUCAAAACAUGUAAGUACCUGGCAGGCCAAACUCCUCACCGAUCUCUUUCCAAGCCUGGUUGGUUUUGUUUUUAUCUCUGGUUAUAUAUGGAGGUAGAUUUGUGUCUUUAUUAUGCAAUCAAAAAUAAUAGGUUUGAGAGCAAAACUUUCCACACUGCAAUCAAAAAAUAGGUUUGAAAGCAAAACUUUCCACACUGCAAUCAAAAAAUAGA
Long non-coding RNA from Gadus macrocephalus (Pacific cod), 385 nucleotides. RefSeq lists it as uncharacterized. Lineage: Eukaryota; Metazoa; Chordata; Actinopteri; Gadiformes; Gadidae. The transcript has 2 exons. The record is from RefSeq and is a predicted model, not a curated record.